GUGUCAGCAGCCGCGGUAAUACGAAGGGGGCUAGCGUUGCUCGGAAUUACUGGGCGUAAAGCGCACGUAGGCGGCGACAAUAGUCAGGUGUGAAAGGCCUGGGCUCAACCCGGGAAUUGCAUUUGAUACUGUGUUGCUAGAGUCCAAGAGAGGGUAGUGGAAUUCCCAGUGUAGAGGUGAAAUUCGUAGAUAUUGGGAAGAACACCAGUGGCGAAGGCGGCUACCUGGCUUGGUACUGACGCUCAGGUGCGAAAGCGUGGGGAGCGAACAGGAUUAGAUACCCUCGUAGUCC
RNAcentral lists this ribosomal RNA (292 nucleotides) under uncultured bacterium. RNAcentral describes it as "partial 16S ribosomal RNA". It matches the Rfam family "Bacterial small subunit ribosomal RNA", at positions 505 to 796 of the family's 1533-position model. The record is from RNAcentral.